This 301-nucleotide ribosomal RNA is filed under the name uncultured bacterium. RNAcentral describes it as "partial 16S ribosomal RNA". It matches the Rfam family "Bacterial small subunit ribosomal RNA", at positions 509 to 807 of the family's 1533-position model. The record is from RNAcentral.
CAGCCGCCACGGUAAUACGAGGGGGGCAAGCGUUGUUCGGAAUUAUUGGGCGUAAAGGGUGCGUAGGCGGUUCAGCAAGUCUCGUGUGAAAUCUUCGGGCUCAACCCGAAGUCUGCACGGGAAACUACUGGGCUUGAGUAAUGGAGAGGUGAGUGGAAUUUCCGGUGUAGCGGUGAAAUGCGUAGAUAUCGGAAGGAACACCUGUGGCGAAAGCGGCUCACUGGACAUUUACUGACGCUGAAGCACGAAAGCUAGGGGAGCAAACAGGAUUAGAGACCCCUGUAGUCCCUGUCUCUUAUAC